RNAcentral lists this ribosomal RNA (442 nucleotides) under uncultured bacterium. RNAcentral describes it as "partial 16S ribosomal RNA". It matches the Rfam family "Bacterial small subunit ribosomal RNA", at positions 338 to 795 of the family's 1533-position model. The record is from RNAcentral.
CCUACGGGGUGCAGCAGUGGGGAAUAUUGGGCAAUGGGCGCAAGCCUGACCCAGUAACGCCGCGUGAAGGAAGAAGGCUUUCGGGUUGUAAACUUCUUUUAAGGGGGAAGAGCAGAAGACGGUACCCCUUGAAUAAGCCACGGCUAACUACGUGCCAGCAGCCGCGGUAAUACGUAGGUGGCAAGCGUUGUCCGGAUUUACUGGGUGUAAAGGGCGUGCAGCCGGAGAGACAAGUCAGAUGUGAAAUCCACGGGCUCAACCCGUGAACUGCAUUUGAAACUGUUUCCCUUGAGUGUCGGAGAGGUAAUCGGAAUUCCUUGUGUAGCGGUGAAAUGCGUAGAUAUAAGGAAGAACACCAGUGGCGAAGGCGGAUUACUGGACGAUAACUGACGGUGAGGCGCGAAAGCGUGGGGAGCAAACAGGAUUAGAUACCCCGGUAGUC